This is a long non-coding RNA of Cyprinus carpio carpio, 1026 nucleotides long. The record is from Ensembl. Lineage: Eukaryota; Metazoa; Chordata; Actinopteri; Cypriniformes; Cyprinidae.
GAAAUAACAGUAAAAAGGGAAACAUUAAUUGUCUUGUAUUUUUUUAAAUUGCAGCUUACAAACACUUCAAAACCAUUUUUCAUACAGAGAACAUAUCAUUCUGAGGAAAUAUGCAUAGUUUCACGAUUUUACAAAACUUUAUGGAUAACAGAAAAUUAAAAAAACUGUCAGACAUCUGAUCUCACUCUUAGGCCACUCUCUGUGUGAGGGAAGGGAGGGGGAGGGGGGGUUGGCUGACAGAGAGAGAGAGGGACAGAGAGAGACAGAGAGAGAGUUAACAUCUCUUUAAUCACCAGGGGGAAAAAAAUCAGUAAUUGUGUGUUGUUGUUGUUGUUGUUGUUGUUGUUGUUGUUGUUUUUCAUCAUUACAGCUUAAGAAAUCUCUUAGGCCUUAUCCUUUUCUGUCAGUUUUAGGGACCAAAAAAAAAAAAAACCUAGUACAAUUUGUAGGGCUCAGACAACAUGAUUUUAUAUUAUUAGGUUAAAAAUUAUGUUGAUUGCAACAUAAAAAAAUAAAAAAACGUGGACUUUACAAAUGCUUAUAGAUCAAUAAAAUCAUUAAAAAUGCUUUUUCGCCGAGUGCAUAAUAAUUAGUCAUAUUGAUAUUCUGAUGAUAUUUUUUUCCAAGCACAUUUUUACCAAUUCCAAAUCACAUCAAUCUUAAUAAAUACUAUACAUUUGGUAUUUAAUCAUUUAUGAGUGAUAUAUAAUUGUCCUUAAAGGCUGGAAGUGAAAAACUCCUUAUAUUCAGGAGUGCUGAAUUAUUAGGCAUGUUUUUUUGCCAUGCUUUGGUCAUAGAGCUCAUUGUAGCGGUGCCUCAGGUGUUGAAAUAGAUUUGUUAUACAUUAUACAGGUUCACACGUACUCCGUCCGCAGUGCGUAUGUGUAUGCAGUUCAGAAGCAGCAGCGAGAGCGCGUUACUGUAACGCGAAAGAACAUUAAAAUAAUGCGCGAGCGCGAAUCUAUCCGCUCGCACGCAAAUUUCCUUUGCUUUGUCACAAAACCAGACACGCGUGCUCAGAUACAU